CCUACGGGUGGCAGCAGUCGAGAAUCAUUCACAAUGGGGGAAACCCUGAUGGUGCGACGCCGCGUGGGGGAAUGAAGGUCUUCGGAUUGUAAACCCCUGUCAUGUGGGAGCAAAUUAAAAAGAUAGUACCACAAGAGGAAGAGACGGCUAACUCUGUGCCAGCAGCCGCGGUAAUACAGAGGUCUCAAGCGUUGUUCGGAAUCACUGGGCGUAAGGCGUGCGUAGGCUGUUUCGUAAGUCGUGUGUGAAAGGCGCGGGCUCACCCCGCGGACGGCACAUGAUACUGCGAGACUAGAGUAAUGGAGGGGGAACCGGAAUGCUCGGUGUAGCAGUGAAAUGCGUAGAUAUCGAGAGGAACACUCGUGGCGAAGGCGGGUUCCUGGACAUUAACUGACGCUGAGGCACGAAGGCCAGGGGAGCGAAAGGGAUUAGAUACCCCGGUAGUC
Molecule: ribosomal RNA, 446 nt
Filed under: uncultured bacterium
Lineage: Bacteria
Description: partial 16S ribosomal RNA
Rfam family: Bacterial small subunit ribosomal RNA
Source: RNAcentral